This 5931-nucleotide long non-coding RNA is filed under the name Marmota monax (woodchuck). The record is from RNAcentral. Lineage: Eukaryota; Metazoa; Chordata; Mammalia; Rodentia; Sciuridae.
UGAUCUUCAGGGUUUUUUUUCCCUCUAUUGAUCAUAUUUGUUGAAUGGGGCCCCAUAAAAUUAGACUGAUAAAAGACAGAAGGAGAGAAGCAAAUUUAUUAACAUGUGCAUCAUGUGUAUGCAGGAGAAUGCUUGAUGGUGAGUAACUCAGAGGAAUGGUUAGAACUGGAAUUCACAUGGUAUCUUAGCAAAGAAUAAGAAUCCUGCAGAGAAGUAAUAACCAAAGAAUAAGGAGUUUGAACUUCUAGGGCAGGUAGAUUGGGGGAAGGUAAAUAUAUGUGGAGGCUGAUGGAAGAUAACAUUUGUUGUACAGAUUCUUCUGGGAUUUCUCUGAGCAGAUAAGAAUUUAGAGUCUCUGGUGAUUCAGGAUUUCCUGCCGUUCCUGGUAGAGAUGGGGAGGGCAAAGAAUUUUUCUUGGGUCUGCUUCUACUUAAUUGGCUUUUGCUCAAAAUAAUCAAUAGACCAAAGUGGCAUAUUUUGGAGUGGCAUAUUCUACAACUUCCUCUGAAGGAACUUUCUGGUUCCCUCAUGUGUAAAAAGGAAAUAAAAUUAGUCCUUAGGCAUUCUGAGGAUUUCUUAGAUAAUCCAUUCAAAGAACUCAGAACUGUGUCUAGCAAACAACAUAUGCUCAGUUCAUGCUGCCUAACACCACUGCUGCUCCAGCUGAUGAGAUCCGUUGGAUUUUCCCAAGUUCCUUCCAUCCUGGACUUGGGGGUGAGGGAGGCCCUGGGUAUAGGCAGCUAAAUAGGAAGUGGAAAAAGAUAAUUUAUUAAUAGAAUCCUCUUCCUUCUAGAAUUUCUUGGAGAUGGUGAGGCCAGUGGCAACAGCUGAUUAGGAGACCAUUCAGUAAGGAUUAAGAAUCAAAUACACUGUGUCACUGAGGUAGUCUUAGGCCUGCAGAUCUGUUGUGGGCAAUGUGAAAACAAGAGGAAAAUUAGGAUGUAUUUCAAAAUGGAGUCUGGAGGCCAUGAAGGGGGCAGGAUUUAUGCAGGUUCCAACUUCUCCCUGGGAAUGUGAACUCUGGUCUCUUCCACCCCGUCUGGAACAACCAAAACAAGUGGUCAAUUGAAUUGUACUCAGAGGCUUACGGUACAUAUCAGGAGAUCACCAGACUCUUGUUUUGUGGCCUUUUCCAUUUUGUUUGUACGUUCUUUUUUUUUUUUUUUUUCUGUAGCUUAUGUAGCUCCUGUUUCUUCUCAACAUUCACUAGCACACAUGAGCUCCUACUUUUUCUGCCUUCCGCAGAAUGCUGAUUUAGAGCUUUCUGAAUCUUUGUCACUUGAAUCACAGUUCCUAAGACCUGAAAUAAAGCCAUUUGGAUGGAUUCACUGUGAUAGGUAAGAAAGAAAUUAUUCAUCCAUGAACAGAGAGUAAAAAAGGAGUAAAAAGUGAGGGAAUAGCCAUUGGAAGCUAGAAUCAGUAAAACUGGGAACUUAAGCAGAGAGAAAUGAGGGAGAGCAGCAGGAUUUUGUAGGGAGAGAACUGAAUGGAAAGAGUUAAGGCCAGAGAUCAUGCAGCAAAUUGCUGCCAUCAAAAGCAAAUAUUUGCCAGACUCUAGACGAUAAGACCGCCCAUGGACUUUGAAAAAUACUGUUUACAUGGAAAAAAAAAAAAAAACAUGUUGGAUGAAAAUUCCAAGAAGCCAUUGUUUUAGACGGGAGCCUUCUUGCACUAAGCCCCACAGACCAGAUUAAAAAACAAAAUGGAGUCACUUAGGCUGAGUGAGGUUCUUUAGUACCAAACAGAAAUUGAAUUGUAAUCUGACCUUCCCAGAAAUCAGGAGAAAGAACUCCAGAAAACUUCCUAAACCAGCUCAUUUUGAUUGACAUGAUAAUCAAGUUUCCUCUUCUUUAAUCCUUACCCCUUCUAAUCCUUAUGAAAAGUAACCAGAGGCAAUCUGAUAUUAACCUACCCAUUAAUUUUCUAUUGUCUAUCUCUAUGUCUAUAUUUCAAAGGGAAAGUAAUUUUGAAAUGACCAUCUGAUUUUGGAUUUUUUUUUUAAUUUUUUAUUGUUGGGUGUUCAAAACAUUACAUAGUUCUUGAUAUAUCAUAUUUCACACUUUGAUUCAAGUGGGUUAUGAGCUCCCAUUUUUACCCCAUAUACAGAUUGCAGAAUUACAUCAGUUACACAUCCAUUGAUUUACAUAUUGCCAUACUAGUGUCUGUUGUGUUCUGCUGCCUUUCCUAUCCUCUACUAUCCCCCCUCCCCUCCCCUCCCCUCCCCUCCCCUCUUCUCUCUCUGCCCCCUCUACUAGCAUUCAUUUGUCCCCCUUGUAUUCUUUUUCCCUUUCCCCUCACUUCCUCUUGUAUGUACUUUUGUAUAACUCUGAGGGUCUCCUUCCAUUUCCAUGCAAUUUCCCUUCUCUCUCCCUUUCCCUCCCACCUCUCAUCCCUGUUUAAUGUUAAUCUUCUUCUCAUGCUCUUCGACCCUACUCUGUUCUUAGUUACUCUCCUUAUAUCAAAGAAGACAUUUGGCAUUUGUUUUUUAGGGAUUGGCUAGCUUCACUUAGCAUAAUCUGCUCUAAUGCCAUCCAUUUCCCUGUAAAUUCUAUGAUUUUGUCAUUUUUUAAUGCAGAGUAAUACUCCAUUGUGUAUAAAUGCCACAUUUUUUUUAUCCAUUCAUCUAUUGAAGGGCAUCUAGGUUGGUUCCACAGUCUUGCUAUUGUGAAUUGUGCUGCUAUGAACAUCGAUGUAGCAGUGUCCCUGUAGCAUGCUCUUUUUAGGUCUUUAGGGAAUAGACCGAGAAGGGGAAUAGCUGGGUCAAAUGGUGGCUCCAUUCCCAGCUUUCCAAGAAAUCUCCAUACUGCUUUCCAAAUUGGCUGCACCAAUUUGCAGUCCCACCAGCAAUGUACAAGUGUACCCUUUUCCCCACAUCCUCGCCAGCACUUGUUGUUGUUUGACUUCAUAAUGGCUGCCAAUCUAACUGUGGCAUUUAUACACAAUGGAGUAUUACUGUGCAUUAAAAAAUGACAAAAUCAUAGAAUUUACAGGGAAAUGGAUGGCAUUAGAGCAGAUUAUGCUAAGUGAAGCUAGCCAAUCCCUAAAAAACAAAUGCCAAAUGUCUUCUUUGAUAUAAGGAGAGUAACUAAGAACAGAGUAGGGUCGAAGAGCAUGAGAAGAAGAUUAACAUUAAACAGGGAUGAGAGGUGGGAGGGAAAGGGAGAGAGAAGGGAAAUUGCAUGGAAAUGGAAGGAGACCCUCAGAGUUAUACAAAAGUACAUACAAGAGGAAGUGAGGGGAAAGGGAAAAAUAAUACAAGGGGGACAAAUGAAUGUCAGUAGAGGGGGCAGAGAGAGAAGAGGGGAGGGGAGGGGAGGGGAGGGGGGAUAGUAGAGGAUAGGAAAGGCAGCAGAACACAACAGACACUAGUAUGGCAAUAUNGCCACUUUGCUGAAUUCAUUUAUUAGCUCUAAUAGUUUCUUUGUAGAGCCUUUUGGGUCUGCUAGGUAUAGAAUCAUAUCAUCUGCAAAUAGUGAUAAUUUAAGUUCUUCUUUUCCUAUUUUUAUGCCUUUAAUUUCUUUCGUCUGUCUAAUUGCUCUGGCCAGUGUUUCGAGAACUAUGUUGAACAGAAGUGGUGAGAGAGGGCAUCCCUGUCUUGUUCCAGAUUUUAGAGUGAAUGCCUUCAAUUUUUCUCCAUUCAGAAUGAUGCUAGCCUGAGGCUUAGCAUAGAUUGCUUUUACAAUAUUGAGGUAUGUUCCUGUUAUCCCUAGUUUUUCUAGAGUUUUGAACAUAAAGGGAUGCUGUACUUUGUCGAAUGCUUUUUCCGCAUCUAUCGAGAUGAUCAUAUGGUUCUUAUUUUUAAGUCUAUUGAUGUGGUGAAUAACAUUUAUUGAUUUCCGUAUAUUGAACCAGCCUUGCAUCCCAGGGAUGAAUCCUACUUGAUCAUGGUGCACAAUUUUUUUGAUAUGUUUUUGUAUCCGAUUCGCCAGAAUUUUAUUGAGGAUUUUUGCAUCUAGGUUCAUUAGAGAUAUUGGUCUGUAGUUUUCUUUCUUUGAAGUGUCUUUGUCUGGUUUAGGUAUCAGGGUGAUGUUGGCCUCGUAGAAUGAAUUUGGAAGUUCUCCCUCUUUUUCUAUUUCCUGAAGUAGCUUGAAAAGUAUUGGUAUUAGUUCCUCUUUAAAGGUUUUGUAAAACUCUGCUGUAUACCCAUCCGGUCCUGGGCUUUUCUUAGUUGGUAGUCUUUUGAUGGUUUCUUCUAUUUCCUCAAUUGAUAUUGGUCUGUUUAGGUUGUCUAUAUCCUCCUGACUCAAUCUAGGCAGAUCAUAUGACUUAAGAAAUUUAUCGAUGCCUUCACUAUCUUCAAAUUUAUUGGAGUAUAAGGAUUCAAAAUAAUUUUUGAUUAUCUUCUGUAUAUCUGAGGUGUCUGUUGUGAUAUUGCCUUUUUCAUCCCGUAUGCUAGUAAUUUGAGUUCUCUCUCUUCUUCUCUUCGCUAGCAUGGCUAAGGGUCUGUCGAUUUUGUUUAUUUUUUCAAAGAACCAACUUUUAGUUUUGUCAAUUUUUUCAAUUGUUUCUUUUGUUUCGAUUUCAUUAAUUUCAGCUCUGAUUUUAAUUAUUUCUUGCCUUCUACUUCUUUUGCUGUUGUUUUGCUCUUCUUUUUCUAGGAUUUUGAGAUGAAGUAUGAGAUCAUUUAUUUGUUGGUUUUUUCUUUUUUUAAGGAAUGAACUCCAAGCAAUGAAUUUUCCUCUUAGAACUGCUUUCAAUGUGUCCCAUAGAUUCCGAUAUGUUGUGUCUGUGUUUUCAUUAAUCUCUAAGAAUUUUUUAAUUUCCUCCUUGAUGUCUUCUAUAACCCAUUGAUCAUUCAGUAACCUAUUGUUCAUUCUCCAAGUGAUGUAUGCUUUUUCCUUCCUUCUUUUAUCGUUGAUUUUCAGUUCCAUUCCAUUAUGAUCAGAUAGGAUGCAUGGUAUUAUCUCUACUCCUUUAUAUUGUCUAAGAGUUGCCCUGUGACAUAAUAUAUGAUCUAUUUUUGAGAAGGAUCCAUGUGCUGCUGAGAAAAAAAGUGUAACUGCUUGAUGUUGGGUGGUAUAUUCUAUAUAUGUCAAUUAAAUCUAGGUUAUUAAUUGUGUUAUUGAGUUCUAUAGUUUCCUUAUUCAACUUUUGUUUGGAAGAUCUGUUCAGUGGCGAGAGAGGUGUGUUGAAGUCUCCCAUGAUUAUUGUAUGGUGGUCUAUUAGACUCUUGAACUUGAGAAGAGUUUGUUUGAUGAACAUAGCUGCACCAUUGUUUGGGGCAUAUAUAUUUAUGAUUGUUAUGUCUUGUUGGUGUAUGGUUCCCUUAAGCAGUAUGUAGUGUCCCUCUUGAUUUUGGAUUUAGUUUCUGCUUUUCUCGGCCCUUUUCUGUCUAAAAUCUAACCUCUUCUGCUCAGCCUAUCAGAACACAUAUUCUAUUCUAUGGAACGAAGUAUUACCUAUUGCAGAAGCAUAAAAUAAAAUCAAUUAAGAUUUUCAAAACCAAGUCAUUAUAAUUUUACCCUUCAAUAAAAUUUGUUUGUAUGGUGUGCUUACUACAGUUUUCCAGAUUAUAUCUAAAGCUUUUAUAUUCUAAGUGGCUGACUGAGUAGGACAUGCCUGAUGAACCUGUGUUAAAGAGAAACAUACAGGAGAAAUUUUCCUUUAUCUCUUGUGGCAAAGAUAGUGCCAUGACUUCAACAAACCAUGAACUUUGAACUCCUAAGUACUUCAGAAAAACAUAUUGUCCAGUGUUCUCCCAUGUAAGUGGGAUCAUGUGACUAAUUCUAGCCAACAGAAAUUGGUCAAAGUGAUGAGCCACUAAAACUUUCCUGAUCUUCUUCUCUCUCACUUUCCCUGCCAGGAAGCAGAGCACAGAUGGAGGGAGCCUUGGUAUCUGAGCCUUGGAAGAAUUUCACCUGCAGAGUUCUCCAACCAGCAUGAUACUGUUAAGUGGAUGAGAAAUAAAACAGUUGUGUAAAGUCACUGAAA